Molecule: ribosomal RNA, 391 nt
Filed under: Salmonella enterica
Lineage: Bacteria; Pseudomonadati; Pseudomonadota; Gammaproteobacteria; Enterobacterales; Enterobacteriaceae
Also listed under: 46 other names
Description: bacterial SSU rRNA
Rfam family: Bacterial small subunit ribosomal RNA
Source: RNAcentral
CAGUGAUAAACUGGAGGAAGGUGGGGAUGACGUCAAGUCAUCAUGGCCCUUACGACCAGGGCUACACACGUGCUACAAUGGCGCAUACAAAGAGAAGCGACCUCGCGAGAGCAAGCGGACCUCAUAAAGUGCGUCGUAGUCCGGAUUGGAGUCUGCAACUCGACUCCAUGAAGUCGGAAUCGCUAGUAAUCGUGGAUCAGAAUGCCACGGUGAAUACGUUCCCGGGCCUUGUACACACCGCCCGUCACACCAUGGGAGUGGGUUGCAAAAGAAGUAGGUAGCUUAACCUUCGGGAGGGCGCUUACCACUUUGUGAUUCAUGACUGGGGUGAAGUCGUAACAAGGUAACCGUAGGGGAACCUGCGGUUGGAUCACCUCCUUACCUGAAAGAA